This 253-nucleotide ribosomal RNA is filed under the name uncultured bacterium. RNAcentral's name for it is "partial 16S ribosomal RNA". It matches the Rfam family "Bacterial small subunit ribosomal RNA", at positions 524 to 776 of the family's 1533-position model. The record is from RNAcentral.
UACGAGGGGAGCAAGCGUUAUUCGGAAUCACUGGGCGUAAAGCGCGUGUAGGCGGCCUGUUAAGUCAGCUGUUAAAUACCUCGGCUCAACUGAGGAUCAGCGGUCGAUACUGACGGGCUAGAGUGCGGAAGAGAGAAGUGGAAUUAUCGGAGUAGCGGUAAAAUGCGUAGAUCUCGAUAGGAACACCGAUUGCGAAGGCAGCUUCUUGGUCCGUGUCUGACGCUGAGACGCGAAAGCGUGGGGAGCAAACAGG